UCCAGAUCAGCCAUUCAGUCCUAGACUUUACUUUCCUGCUUAGGAUUCCCAGGUUGCUCUCCUGUGCAGGGACUGGAGGUCCCUAUGGAGAAGGACUGGCUCCUGAACACCUGGAAUAGCACCUGCUAUAAAGAUCCUGGGCAUCAACACAGAGGGCCUGUGUCUGAGAGGCAGAAGUCAUUUCAAGAGGAUGAACCCUUAUGCCAAGGCAGAUUUUCCAGAUAUAUGUGCAUUUAAAGGGAGCACAGGAGGCACCCACUUUCAACUAGAAUAGAAGUUCACCAUCACAGGUUUGAGCUGUCACUUGUUUGAGCAUUGCAGAAAAGGAGGGGAACCCUGCAAGAGUUUGGUUAUGCUUUUUCAACUCAAUCAUCACCUAACUUACUGAGCCACAGGGGAGUCGCCACAGCCUGAAACUCUCACCAUCCAUCACUCCAUGUGUCUGUGAGGGUCCUAGGCCAUUUCCCUGACUGAGCAAUAUAGUGGGUGAGCCCAGGCUUGGAGGAGAUGUGUGCAAGGUCAGUGCCACUGGGUCCAGUGCCUUGCUGGGUGAUCCUCGAUCAAGUGAUUGAACAUGCUUCCAUGACUUCCCUGGCCACUAGACCUGGUGGGAACCAAUAGGUUAUUGCAGAACAGGUGUCACCAAAAUGCCAGCAUGACUGGUGCAGUCUGAACAAGGAUGACAUCACCUAGCAGGCCUGGAGGGUAGUGUGGGCUGUCGGUUUUCAGCAGGGGUACUUGCCCAGGAAGGAGCUGGAACACUCAGGUCAGAUAUGCCAUGCCCAAAAACACUCUCUCCCCUUCCAGUUGGUGAACAAGUUGACAUUGUAUUCCUUGCAAAUAACAGGCCCCAGGGGCUGCCUACGUCGAUCUUCCCUCCUAAUAUCACAGCUGAGCCCAGGCUUGUCUUCAGUCUAAGUCAGGAAGGGCCAGGACCAAAAGUUCACCGGUUGCCAUGGGCACCAAGAUGCCAUGCUGCUGUCAUUCUGCCUUUCUGCAACAUCACCAGGGAUCUGCUCAGUGGCCAGGAUGUCACAGCAUACACUCAUUGGGACCCAAGACUCCUCAGGCCUAGAAGCAACCCCUGGUGAGAAAAACCAAGUGCCAUCUCCUAAAGGAGCCUGGAGUCUCCAUGUCCUUCAAUCUCAACUGGCUAGAUGCCAACCUGUUCCACUUGGAAAAUGUAGUUAUCUCAUGACUUACCAUCAUUUCACAGGAGCAUUGUUACAAACCUAGGCAUUUCUUUGAGAAGCAGCUAAAACAGUGUAGCAAGAUUUUGGAUGGAAGUGAAUGACAGCAUGGCAGUAGAUAUCACAGAAAAUGGGUUUAGAAUCCACAUAAUUAAAAUGAUCCAUGAAAAAAAAAGAUAAGAGAGCAAUUUCAGGUAAUGUAUGAUCACUCCA
This is a long non-coding RNA of Sciurus carolinensis (gray squirrel), 1403 nucleotides long. RefSeq lists it as uncharacterized. Lineage: Eukaryota; Metazoa; Chordata; Mammalia; Rodentia; Sciuridae. The record is from RefSeq and is a predicted model, not a curated record. The transcript has 3 exons.